This 98-nucleotide ribosomal RNA is filed under the name Mesocricetus auratus (golden hamster). Lineage: Eukaryota; Metazoa; Chordata; Mammalia; Rodentia; Cricetidae. The record is from RNAcentral.
GUCUACAGCCAUACUACCUUGAACACACCCUCUUAUCUGAUCUUGGAAGCCAAGCAAGGUUGGUCCUGGCUGGCCUGGUCCCGGAGGAGAAGUAAAAA